Long non-coding RNA from Alosa sapidissima (American shad), 553 nucleotides. RefSeq lists it as uncharacterized. NCBI's taxonomy places the organism in Eukaryota, Metazoa, Chordata, Actinopteri, Clupeiformes, Clupeidae. The record is from RefSeq and is a predicted model, not a curated record. The transcript is spliced from 3 exons.
UGUAACAGUGUACAUUUUCCAGUAUUUAUAAUUACACAAAGAUGUUCUUAUUUUGAUACACCAUAUGUAUGUACAGUGUCUUCUUCUUCUGGGUGUCUAUGGAGCUUCCUGCCCCCCUCCUUAUAUCCCCCUCUAAUAUUUUCUUUUUUCUUAUUUUUAUGUCCUUGCCCCCUUCACCUCUUCCCUGUUUCUGUCACCCUGGGGAAGAGGAGUUGGAGAAGGAGAGAUUAACACCCAGCUGUGUACUGUAUGUUGGUUUACAGAAACUCCAGGAGCCAGCAAUGAUGCAGAGGCUUUCACUCCUCCUCGAUGCCCAGAUCAAAGGGAGAUUCCUCUCCGGAGGGAAGCCACGAGCACUGAGUCUGUCUGGCCCUCAUCUCCCUCCUCCAAUUCCCCCUACCACUCUAUCUCUGCUGAGCAGAGCGGAAUACCAAUUUAAUUUAUCACACAUUAAAAAACACACUUGUAAUACUACAGCUACCAUUAGGUUGAGCAUAUGUAUUUUGGGUGUUCAAGACAAUCUACCUGAUGAGCCUAUAAAGCAAUUCAAUUA